This 484-nucleotide ribosomal RNA is filed under the name uncultured bacterium. Its description in RNAcentral is "bacterial SSU rRNA". It matches the Rfam family "Bacterial small subunit ribosomal RNA", at positions 327 to 804 of the family's 1533-position model. The record is from RNAcentral.
CGCCUUAUACUCCUACGGGAGGCAGCGGUGGGGGAUUUUGGACAAUGGGCGCAAGCCUGAUCCAGCAAUGCCGCGUGCAGGAAGAAGGCCUUCGGGUUGUAAACUGCUUUUGUACGGAACGAAACGGUCUGGGUUAAUACCCUGGCUAAUGACGGUACCGUAAGAAUAAGCACCGGCUAACUACGUGCCAGCAGCCGCGGUAAUACGUAGGGUGCAAGCGUUAAUCGGAAUUACUGGGCGUAAAGCGUGCGCAGGCGGUUUUGUAAGACAGUCGUGAAAUCCCCGGGCUCAACCUGGGAAUGGCGAUUGUGACUGCAAAGCUGGAGUGCGGCAGAGGGGGAUGGAAUUCCGCGUGUAGCAGUGAAAUGCGUAGAUAUGCGGAGGAACACCGAUGGCGAAGGCAAUCCCCUGGGCCUGCACUGACGCUCAUGCACGAAAGCGUGGGGAGCAAACAGGAUUAGAAACCCUAGUAGUCCACGUACCA